This 411-nucleotide ribosomal RNA is filed under the name Verrucomicrobiota bacterium. RNAcentral describes it as "Verrucomicrobia bacterium partial 16S ribosomal RNA". It matches the Rfam family "Bacterial small subunit ribosomal RNA", at positions 355 to 776 of the family's 1533-position model. Lineage: Bacteria; Pseudomonadati; Verrucomicrobiota. The record is from RNAcentral.
UGGGGAAUAUUGCACAAUGGGCGCAAGCCUGAUGCAGCGACGCCGCGUGGGGGAUGACGGCCUUCGGGUUGUAAACUCCUUUCGCUAGGGACGAAGCUUUUUGUGACGGCACCUAGAUAAGAAGCACCGGCUAACUACGUGCCAGCAGCCGCGGUAAUACGUAGGGUGCGAGCGUUGUCCGGAAUUACUGGGCGUAAAGGGCUCGUAGGUGGUUUGUCGCGUCGUCUGUGAAAUUCCGGGGCUUAACUCCGGGCGUGCAGGCGAUACGGGCAUAACUUGAGUACUGUAGGGGUAGCUGGAAUUCCUGGUGUAGCGGUGAAAUGCGCAGAUAUCAGGAGGAACACCGAUGGCGAAGGCAGGUUACUGGGCAGUUACUGACGCUGAGGAGCGAAAGCAUGGGUAGCGAACAGG